CCUAGCGCGUGCCUAAGCUCUUGACUGUCUGGAUUGUGCUGUGGGGGCUUCCGUAGACCGUUUUCCUCGGUUAGGAUUUAACAUGGCGGCUCCCUUUCCGGAGAUCGCAGAUGUGACCUGGUGAUGGCAAAAUCGAGUACUGGCCAGCCGAUGGGCCUGUAAGGAGAAGAGAGUGGACUCGGAAUUAGCUGUCCAGACCUGCCAGAUGAGGCCAGCAAAUUUCCUCAGAUAUUACAGGGCUUCUGUUUGGAAACCAGCCUGUUAAAUCCUGCUGUGAUGCCAAGAGGUAGCCCAGCAACUCAUACCUUGCCUUACUCUGAACAACUUACUUGUGUGACCAUCUCUGACGCCUUAUGCCGAAGCUGAUCUGGCUCAGCACCAAAGUUCUGGCACCACGACAGUGCUUGUUAACUGGCAGUGCCAAAAAGGUCUCCUCGCUUUCAUUGUCUGUGAAACGUUACUUCUUUUCUGGGCAGUGGUUAAUUUGUUGAAAAUCUCUGGAAGAGUUUCCACAGUUGGGGUGGGGGGAAAGCGCUCUAUAGAAAUAUGAACUGCUCUAAGGUGCAUUCCAAGACACUUCUAAGCUCUAGUUUCAUGGAAACCUCGGGCUCCUGUGUUGCUUUAUUAGCACGGGUUUUAUCCACAAGGUGGCAUCACAGAACCUGAAUUUCAUUCACCGAAGGUUAAAAGACAAUCCACAUUUCUUUGUGAUUGGAAACUAAAGUAUGUAGUUUUAAGAGGCCAUGUUUAAAAACUCUGUGUUUAUCCCUGUAAUUGGGAAAAUUACUUUAAAGCUGUGAAAGAUGGGGGUCGUGAUAGCUUCCUACUCAGUGAAAACCUGAAGCCUGAGAUACUUAGAAAAACCUGCCCUAAGCCCAUGUUCCUUCCCCAGGUAACACGAUGAUGAUCAAAACUGCCUGUUUCCUAGUCAAGACAAUAGUGAAACUUAAGGAUAACCGUGAGGCCUUCCUCCCCUUCCACACACACUUGUUCCCACUGCCCAUCAACGUCAUCUUGGCUGACUUCAUUUGAGGCAGGGGUCAAGAAAACCUAAAUGGAUGGUUUAAGAGGUCAAUCUGCUGUGUAGUGGCACUUCAAAAUAAGUCACAAGGUUGAAGAUGUCAAAAAGUUGACUCUCCAGUUGGUGCCAGUCUCACAGAUCAGGGCUCUCAUGGAAAGAGAAGGUAAUCCUCUUCUGAAUUUGAGAUGGAAUCUAGCUUGCUGGUUCUUUCCCAGGAAUUCAUUCCCAGGCCAGCCAUGUCACUUAGGCUCAUGAGACAGUACCUAGUGAAUGUCUACUCACUCGUGGGAAUGUGAAUGUUCUAGAAAUUCUUGGUGUGAUGUAUUCCUUUGGAUACAUACCACAAGUGGGAUUGCUGGACUAGAUGGUAGUUCUGUUUUGCAUUUUUUGAGGGGCUUUUAUACUGUUUCCCAUAGUAGCUGUACCAAAUUAAUCUUGAACUAGAUGAGUUUCAUGAGUGGUUCUCAGGCCACUUUUGAUUGUCGGUUCUUUUCAGGAGAAGUGCUGUAGAGAUUAGAGGCUCAAAGUGGGAAGGAGUUCCCUGAUCAGGAAAGAUGGAAUGACUGACUAAAAAUAGACCUUCAUUAGGGUGCCUAAAUCCCAGAGUUGGGGAAGGGGCUGGGAAGAGUGACCCUCUGUAGAGCUGCUGUGAGAGCACAAGGAGAAAGCUUGAUGGGAGGACAUAGGCCCUCAACGUGAAAGGUGCAUUGGACUUUCUGUGGUCAAAAGUGUCUCCUACCUAUUUCUCAAUCCCUGGUACUGCCUGGGAUCAUUGUAGCAAGGGGACUGAAAAUAAUAGUGCACAUCGCUGAGUAUGACAUGACAGUGGAUUCCUUUCUGGCAAUGGUGAGACUUUCAUGAUGAAGGCUUUACCCUAUGUGACAGCAUUCCUCAGAAUUCUGGACUUCACUGUUAGGGAUGUUCUUGUGUUCCUGCUUCAGUCUGUGCACUGCCUUAGGCUGUGAAAAGCAUCUCAGGAAAGGUGACCUUUCCCCCUCCUAUACUGUGGCCUAAAGUAGUAGUCUGAGAGGAUCUCCUGGGAGGCGCCCGCUGAUGUUGACUACAGUUGGUUGAGUAGACCACUCAGAUCAUCUGUUGAGACUACCUGUGGCCAUAAAGAGGCACAUGAAUGUGAACUGGUGUUGCUGGUGUAUUCUACUGAUAUACCAACUAGACACUUCUUCCUUUGACACUCACACGCCUCAGGUGCCUUGCUAAAGUCCUAAAAGGUGCAUAUUGGCAAUGGCAGCAUGUGGGGUAUGGGAAAUGUUGAGUCUGGGGCAGAAGUUGGCGGUAGCCUGAUGUCAGAAUUCUGUGCCAUUGUGCCAAGCGAGGGCACACUGGGAAUCCUGAGGAGUCCCAACUCUGUUUGUCAGAAUGUGGUUGGAACUUUGCACAUUCACUUUCUGCACUCUUCCACUGAGCACACUCUGCACAUUGGCUGGAAGGCAGACAUCCGAUGGGUCUAGUCAGUGAACUGUCCAUGAAUCCGGGGCCUUUUGCUUCCUUUGGGGCAUAUGCCAAUGAGCGUGGAUGUGUAGGAAUCUCCCGAGUCAGGUGCCCCAGCUGGAGGAUGAAGCCCUUGUAUUCCUCUUGCUGGAGAGGGCUGCAUCCCCAGGCUGUAGCUGUCUCUACCACCCGUGUGUCUGCUAGAAAGCCUUUCUAGCAGAAAGGCUGGCUGGUGGUUGCUCCUCUUCCAUUUGGGGUUUCCUGUUGGUGGCGGUGACAUUGCCUCAGGGGAACCUUCUCUGCACUCUCAAGGAAGAAGGUGUUGUUGGUCAACAGUGGAGGGACAGUUAUGCAUUGUUUGUGGUGUUGUGCUACUGGAGUGGGGGAGAGGAAAGGGGAACUCAAUUGGGGGAGGGACAAGGCCUGAUGGUUUCCCCAUGUCAGGCUUUUGCUUUCUCUUGAUUCGGGAAAUUUGGGCCCAGCAGGGCUAUGAGGAGGCGGCUCUGAGAGUAUAAGGAAAGAUUGCCAGUGGGGAGGACAAGGGUCUUUGGUGUGAUGACUGUGGUGGGCAUUGUGGGUUCAGGGCUCUUUCCCCUGUCUUCUUUCUCCAUUCUCAUGCCCUUCCUAUGGGUUAGCAUAGCUGAGGCACAAAAAUUAACAAUGGACCCUGAUGGAUAUACUAUAAGAAGUUACAGCUUUGGUAUAAACUAGGACAUUUAUUAUGGGAACAGGAUUGUUUUCGAUUUUCCCAAGUGAAUUGUGAUUUUGUCAGCAAGUGAAGGCUUUGCUGUCUCUUUCUUGCUCUGUGUUGCCUAGACCUGUGACAAAUGGCUGUUGUGGAAGGGGAACUCUUUGUCCAGCUGUACUGUUGCACAGUAUAUAAUCUAAGGGAGUUCUGAGAAGGGACUGCUGUUGUUUACACUAUUUUUUUUUUCCCGGUGAUAUUUUCUGUCCUUUUCCUGUAGCUUUAUGGGCUCUUUGUCACUGCUUUUUCUGCCAGGUCCCUGAAAGAACACUCAUGGUUUUUCAAAUUCCCAAGAGGCUUAUUUAACUUACAGAAAAGAUUUCCAUACAUGCAGAGAGUCAGAAAUGGCAGCCUAUUGCCUGGAGAAUCCCAGGGACAGCAGAGCCUGGUGGGCUACCGUCUCUGGGGUCACACAGAGUCAGGCACGACUGAAGUGAUUUCGCAGAGUCAGACAAAGAACUGACCACACUACAGUUUUUGAGGAAAUGUGAGAAAGAAGUCCUCGUCCCUUUUCAGCAUGAGCAAUUUAAUUUUCCUCAUUUGAGUGUCCCUUACAAUGUGCUCCCCGUGAGAUCCCAGGUCCCCUGGGGAUCUUCACCAUCUCUCCAAGUGCUGAUUCUAAAGUUCUGGCCACAGCCAGACCUGGGCAGAGGAAUUCCUCAAGAGGAACUUGUGGAAACAGCACCUGAAGGACAAGUAAAAAGGAUGAGUGACUGCUUGUCCUCUAGGAGCUUUUAAACCAUACAUAUGUCCUCAGGGCGAAUUCUGUGUGAUCAAUAAGAUCACUGGGGAUGAGGAUGAAAAGUACAAACCUUCUUUAGAGAAGGUUUAAGUCACUCUGCUGACAUCAGCAGUCUGUUGGCAAGCGGAGCUGAGCUUCUCUCUCACUGUCCCUUUCUCAAGUACUCUGAAGGAGCAGAGAUUUGAUCUCCAAUUGGCAGAGGUCCGAUUUUUGUGUCUUGUGGUGCACAGGACCUGCUAGAAUACUUGGCAGGAGGCAAGGACUCAGAUCCGCCAGAGAUUUACCUAUGGAAUUUUAGUGUGCGGCUCUGUCAAAAAGAGUGGUCAGAAUGAGUCAAAUUUGUGCAUUCCUGGACAGUUUGAAUGGUCUCCUCAUCCCGAUGCAUUUGAAUUUUCCCUCCCAGUCCACUAUGCUGACUCCAGCAUGCACCCAUAAUGGGUUACUGAGUGUCACCACCGAGGGACCUCACAGUUUUGAUUUGGGUUGGCUUUCUGAGCUUCCUUUGCUUCUCCUUAUUCACGUGCAAGCCUACUAUAUUACCUCUUAUCAGCUUUGGAAAAGAGCAGCAGUGGACCCACUUCAGUGAAUCCUAAGGAGAUUCACUGGUUUACCCAUCCUCCCCCAUCAGUCAGACAAAGCACCUUCCAGAAUGCUGAAAGGCCUGUUUUAGAUUUUCCUCUAGUAGGUUGUCAGAAUACUGAGCUACAGGAUAUAGGAUAUAGUUAAAGCCAGGAACCAAGCACCUGUGCAUCUCCUCCAGACCCCGGAACUGAUGUGUCCUGAAAAGGCUAAGAGAGUGGAUCUUGAUUUGUCAUGUUUUUAUUACUAAAUACUACUAAUAAUAAAUUAUGAAGGUAGGAUGAAACUUCAGAGUGGAUGGGUGUGUUUAUGGUAUAGAUUAUGGAGAUGCUUUACAGAUGUAUACUUAUCUCCAGACUCAUUCGAUUGUAUACAUUAAGAUGUGUACAUCUUUUUGUAUGUCAGUCAUUGCUCAUACCUCAAUAAAGGGGUUUAAAAAAUAAUAAAAAAGAACCUUCCAUGGUCACAAAUGAGUGUCACCUCCCUCCAAGAGUUUUUAUAGUUUAGAACUGAGAGGGAAGAAUAUUUCUCCUUCGGGAAAUGGUUAAUGCCAUUUACAGCUUCUGAAUUAUGGUUUUGCCUUGGUUUCUCUAUAUAUACAUAGUAUCUGCAUUAGUCGUCUAUAAGGUUAACCUUUAGUCCAUAGGAUUUUGAAUUUCAUAGAAUCUCAGCAGUUCUACAGAAGUCUACGGCCUCAUGCGGAGGACCUUGUCUCAAGGAGUGGCCCUGUGACAUCAGCGAGUUGUCAUUUGACCAGAAAUUGACUUUGGGGUAUUGUGCCUUUGGGAAUGGCUUGGACUUUAGGUUGUUUUCAUUUUGUAUAAUAUGUGCUUUUGUGCUUCCUCAAGAAAUCUUUAAAAAUAUUGUACCCAUGGGGGCAUGUCAAAGUGCGUGUGUGCUGUUUUUGUAUUCCAGAUGCUUGAAGGCACUGUUUCAGGCUGAUUGGUCUCUCUAGCAGGCCUCAUUUCUCUGAGACCUUCCCGCAGCCUUCUCUUUUCUGUGCCACUGAGUUUCCUGGCCGUAGCUACUUGGUUUGGAAUACUUUUCAUCUUAUCCUAGUUGAGCCAGUAAUACUUUUGUUAUGGUUUGGGACUAGACCCGCAAGAAUGAGUGAGAGCCUGCAAAGGUUCACUGGUAACCUUUCACAGCAGAGAAUAUAAAAAGACAUACUGUUGGGACUUGCCCAGCAGUCCAGUGGUUAAGACUCCAUGCUUCCAAUAUAGGGGGGAGGGGGUUCAGCCCCUGGUGGGGGAAAUAAAAUCCCACAUGCUGCAUGGCAUGGCGAGAAAACAAAACAAAAAAAGAGGCCAUGCAGCUGAGUUUCCCUGAUUUAGCCUCAUUUCUGUGUCUUUAAAAUGUAUUUGUUGCUUAAGUUUCUCGUAUUUUGUUAAAUACCAGUGUUGUUCCAAUAAAAUUCAUUUGCUUUAGAA
Cervus elaphus (red deer) is the source of this 5966-nucleotide long non-coding RNA. RefSeq lists it as uncharacterized. The record is from RefSeq and is a predicted model, not a curated record. Lineage: Eukaryota; Metazoa; Chordata; Mammalia; Artiodactyla; Cervidae. The transcript has 3 exons.